Podarcis raffonei (Aeolian wall lizard) is the source of this 1412-nucleotide long non-coding RNA. RefSeq lists it as uncharacterized. The record is from RefSeq and is a predicted model, not a curated record. The transcript is spliced from 2 exons. Lineage: Eukaryota; Metazoa; Chordata; Lepidosauria; Squamata; Lacertidae.
CAAGCGGCCCCGCGAGCCCCUGGCGCUGAUUGGCUGCGAGGCUGGUACCCUCCGCUAUCGUCGCGGCCCCCCCACAGCUGAUUGGCCGAAGCGGUGAGCAACCUCGCACGGUGAUGCUAUAACGCCAGCGCGUGAUGUCAUAGGGCUCGGCGCCACACGCCUCUGCUGUAGCAGCCCGUUGAGGACGAAGGAGAACUUGAUGACGUCACAACACUACCAUAUGAUGCCAUCCUCCCGCAAUGGAACUGUUACUUUCCAAGCUCCCGCAUAAAGUAGUACUUUUGAACCCUCCAUUCAGUAGAGGACUGUCUGCGUUGCCUGGCAGAACUGCUCUGGGAUUUUUUACAGGGGUAUCUCUCAGCCUUGAUACUAUUCCAUUAGCAAUAGCCCUGCACUGAAUUUCAAAAGCAUUUGUUUGAAAAAAUUGUUAUAGACUUUGGUCAGAUGAAAGUAGCUGAAACUAUGAUGAAUCAGAUAUGAUCAAUCCUUCUGCAUUGUUGUUAACUUUGACAGAAGUUUAUAUUGCACUGUGACUGUAGAGAAUUAGAAAUGGGGGGGGGGGCAUUAUCAACAACCUGAUUUAGAGUUUAAUUAAAAACUGGAGCUUGCUCAGAGGAAGACCUCCAGUACAGUGAGGGGGAAGGAAAUCAAGUCCAAUUAGAAAAUUUAAGAAGAAAUAGAGCAGCAACUUUUGAAUUUUUGAAUUGCUAUUACAUAGCACAAAUUCAUUUCGUGUCAUUCAGGGUAGAUCCAAACUAACAGCUUCAAAUUACAAGGGGAUUUCAAUUAAACAUUAUAAAGAACUUACUGAUGAUAUGAGCUGUUUUAACCACAGUGGAUGGAGCAGUCACAGAUUUUGUAUAUCAGCUGACUAAAUGUAUUUUGAGGUCCCUUCUAUUAUUCUAGAUGCAUACUUGUGUUUAGAUAACCUAAUUCUUUGUGGUCCUUUUGCUUUAUACCUUGAAGACAAAGUCGCUGAACUCUGGAAGGACAUCGUUGUUGCAGUCUGUUGAGGUGCCCAAUGCCAUGCAUGUCUAAACUGGUGUUGUAGGAUCAAUUUCAGCUGAUGUGGCCUGACGAUGUGGGCAGGGUGCUUGCAGCAAUGAGUCUAACUACCGUAUGUGCUCUCUUGCUCCUUGCCCUCAUUUGCUAAUAAAAACUAGCAGAAAAUAUGUGAGUGGGCGGGUUCACAAUGUAGUUAAUGCAUGUCUGUUUAAGAGGGUGGUCUCCAGUGUUCUCAACAAGGCAAGGGCACCCUGGACCCUCUGAUGCAGAGUAACUACCAACCAGUUGUGUAUUAUUAGUAAGGUGCCUAGAGAAGGUUGUAGCAUAACAACUGCAGGCAUUCCUCUCCCCAACACUAGAACUUGUGGAUAUCCAAAGAAGCUGAAUAUUAAAACUUUAUUCUCAGA